CUUCUUCUUCUUCUUCUUUUUUCCUAUUGUGGCGAAUCACUGUAAAGGAUGGAUUUAUGAUAUAUGAUGCUAUUGAAUACUUGACAAAAUCAAACCUAUUUCAUUCCUGUGAUUAAUUAACUUGGACAUAUUUUAGGACUACUCACUCUUUGAUGUAUCGUUGCAGUUUGGACUUUAGAAAUAGAAUACAUGGGUUAGAUUGCUUCUCUGUUGAUUUGAGUUUUAUCCAUAUUUAAAUGUCUUGAGCUGUGAUUUAGUGGUUGAUUUACAAUUCCUUCAAUGUCUAUGUAAAUGGCAGGCUAGAGAGGUUUUCCAACUCCAAUCAUGGAUACUAAUUCACUUGCUCCCCCUAAGGAUCAAAAAGAAAAAUCGAGUAUUCCUAUUGAGGUUGCUAAUGUAGAGAAACAGUUGUUGACAUCGAUCCAUACCAAAGGUAUAUUGCACUCUGAUGUUCAAGCCUUGUACAAAAACGUUUGUGCUAGUUAUGAGAAAACCAUCCUUAGUGACCGUGAAGUGGCGGAACUUCAAGAUGUUGAAUACUCUUUAUGGAAGCUUCACUAUAGGCAUAUUGAUGAAUUUCGUAAAAGAAUAAAGAAAAGCUCUGUUAAUGAAGAGGCUAACAAAUCUAUGGCAACACAAAGUGGAGCUGCUGUACAGAGAAGCAAUGACAAUCCUGUAGAAGGGUUUAAGUUAUUUCUCUUAGAAGCAACUAGAUUUUAUCAGAAUUUGAUCAUAAAGAUUAAAAGAUAUUAUGGGCUCCCAGAAGACUUUUUGUUCUGUAGAAGAGGUGGAAAUUCUGCUUCUGUUGAACCCAAAAAAAUGCAGAAAUUGCAAUUCUUAUGCCAUAGAUUUCUAGUUUGUCUUGGGGAUCUUGCUAGAUACCGAGAGCAAUGUGAAAAGUCAGACAUA
Molecule: unclassified non-coding RNA, 909 nt
Filed under: Hevea brasiliensis (rubber tree)
Lineage: Eukaryota; Viridiplantae; Streptophyta; Magnoliopsida; Malpighiales; Euphorbiaceae
Source: RNAcentral